Molecule: ribosomal RNA, 1289 nt
Filed under: metagenome
Description: bacterial LSU rRNA
Rfam family: Bacterial large subunit ribosomal RNA
Source: RNAcentral
UUGAAGUGGUUCCAAGAAAAGCCUCUAAGCUUCAGUCUAACGAGACCGUACCGCAAACCGACACAGGUGGGCGAGAUGAGUAUUCUAAGGCGCUUGAGAGAACUCGGGAGAAGGAACUCGGCAAAUUGGUACCGUAACUUCGGGAUAAGGUACGCCCUUGUAGUUUGACUGGCCCGCGCCAGAAGGACGAAGGGGUUGCAAUAAAUUGGUGGCUGCGACUGUUUAAUAAAAACACAGCACUCUGCAAACACGAAAGUGGACGUAUAGGGUGUGACUCCUGCCCGGUGCUGGAAGAUUAAAUGAUGGGGUGCAAGCUCUUGAUUGAAGUCCCAGUAAACGGCGGCCGUAACAAUAACGGUCCUAAGGUAGCGAAAUUCCUUGUCGGGUAAGUUCCGACCUGCACGAAUGGAGUAACGAUGGCCACACUGUCUCCUCCCGAGACUCAGCGAAGUUGAAAUGUUUGUGAUGAUGCAAUCUACCCGCGGCUAGACGGAAAGACCCCAUGAACCUUUACUGUAGCUUUGCAUUGGACUUUGAACCAAUCUGUGUAGGAUAGGUGGGAGGCUUUGAAGCGGGGACGCCAGUUCUCGUGGAGCCAUCCUUGAAAUACCACCCUGGUUUGUUUGAGGUUCUAACCUUGGUCCGUUAUCCGGAUCGGGGACAGUGCAUGGUAGGCAGUUUGACUGGGGCGGUCUCCUCCCAAAGUGUAACGGAGGAGUUCGAAGGUACGCUAGGUACGGUCGGACAUCGUGCUAAUAGUGCAAUGGCAUAAGCGUGCUUAACUGCGAGACUGACAAGUCGAGCAGGUACGAAAGUAGGACAUAGUGAUCCGGUGGUUCUGUAUGGAAGGGCCAUCGCUCAACGGAUAAAAGGUACUCUGGGGAUAACAGGCUGAUUCCUACCAAGAGUUCAUAUCGACGGGGGAGUUUGGCGCCUCGAUGUCGGCUCAUCACAUCCUGGGGCUGUAGCCGGUCCCAAGGGUAUGGCUGUUCGCCAUUUAAAGUGGUACGUGAGCUGGGUUUAAAACGUCGUGAGACAGUUUGGUCCCUAUCUGCCGUGGGCGUUGGAAAUUUGAAGGGGGCUGCUCCUAGUACGAGAGGACCGGAGUGGACGAACCUCUGGUGUACCGGUUGUCACGCCAGUGGCAUUGCCGGGUAGCUAAGUUCGGAAGAGAUAACCGCUGAAAGCAUCUAAGCGGGAAACUUGCCUUGAGAUGAGAUUUCCCGGAGCUUUAAGCUCCUUGAAGGGUCGUUCGAGACCAGGACGUUGAUAGGCUGGGUGUGGAAGCG